RNAcentral lists this transfer RNA (73 nucleotides) under Capra hircus (goat). It matches the Rfam family "tRNA". From Rfam's summary of the family: Transfer RNA (tRNA) molecules are approximately 80 nucleotides in length. Their secondary structure includes four short double-helical elements and three loops (D, anti-codon, and T loops). Further hydrogen bonds mediate the characteristic L-shaped molecular structure. tRNAs have two regions of fundamental functional importance: the anti-codon, which is responsible for specific mRNA codon recognition, and the 3' end, to which the tRNAs corresponding amino acid is attached (by aminoacyl-tRNA synthetases). tRNAs cope with the degeneracy of the genetic code in two manners: having more than one tRNA (with a specific anti-codon) for a particular amino acid; and 'wobble' base-pairing, i.e. permitting non-standard base-pairing at the 3rd anti-codon position. The record is from Rfam by way of RNAcentral. RNAcentral also lists the same sequence under 1 other name. Lineage: Eukaryota; Metazoa; Chordata; Mammalia; Artiodactyla; Bovidae.
UCCCUGGUGGUCCAGUGGCUAAGGCUCCUUGCUUCCAAUGCAGGAGGCCUGGGUUUGAUCCCUGGUCAGGGAA